Molecule: ribosomal RNA, 486 nt
Filed under: Streptomyces olivaceus
Lineage: Bacteria; Bacillati; Actinomycetota; Actinomycetes; Kitasatosporales; Streptomycetaceae
Description: bacterial SSU rRNA
Rfam family: Bacterial small subunit ribosomal RNA
Source: RNAcentral
ACACGUGGGCAAUCUGCCCUGCACUCUGGGACAAGCCCUGGAAACGGGGUCUAAUACCGGAUAUUGACCUUCACGGGCAUCUGUGAGGUUCGAAAGCUCCGGCGGUGCAGGAUGAGCCCGCGGCCUAUCAGCUUGUUGGUGAGGUAAUGGCUCACCAAGGCGACGACGGGUAGCCGGCCUGAGAGGGCGACCGGCCACACUGGGACUGAGACACGGCCCAGACUCCUACGGGAGGCAGCAGUGGGGAAUAUUGCACAAUGGGCGAAAGCCUGAUGCAGCGACGCCGCGUGAGGGAUGACGGCCUUCGGGUUGUAAACCUCUUUCAGCAGGGAAGAAGCGAAAGUGACGGUACCUGCAGAAGAAGCGCCGGCUAACUACGUGCCAGCAGCCGCGGUAAUACGUAGGGCGCAAGCGUUGUCCGGAAUUAUUGGGCGUAAAGAGCUCGUAGGCGGCUUGUCACGUCGGUUGUGAAAGCCCGGGGCUUAA